UACGGAGGGUGCAAGCGUUAUCCGGAUUCACUGGGUUUAAAGGGUGCGUAGGUGGGCAGGUAAGUCAGUGGUGAAAUCUCCGGGCUCAACCCGGAAACUGCCAUUGAUACUAAUGGUCUUGAAUUUUGUUGAGGUAGGCGGAAUAUGUCAUGUAACGGUGAAAUGCUUAGAUAUGACAUAGAACACCGAUUGCGAAGGCAGCUUACUAAGCAAAUAUUGACGCUGAGGCACGAAAGCGUGGGGAUCAAACAGG
RNAcentral lists this ribosomal RNA (253 nucleotides) under uncultured bacterium. Its description in RNAcentral is "partial 16S ribosomal RNA". It matches the Rfam family "Bacterial small subunit ribosomal RNA", at positions 524 to 776 of the family's 1533-position model. The record is from RNAcentral.